CAGCCGCCACGGUAAUACGAAGGGGGCUAGCGUUGUUCGGAUUUACUGGGCGUAAAGGGUGCGUAGGCGGACUGAUAAGUCAGGGGUGAAAUCCCAAGGCUCUACCUUGGAACUGCCUUUGAUACUGUUAGUCUUGAGUUCGAGAGAGGUGAGUGGAACUGCGAGUGUAGAGGUGAAAUUCGUAGAUAUUCGCAAGAACACCAGUGGCGAAGGCGGCUCACUGGCUCGAAACUGACGCUGAGGCACGAAAGCGUGGGGAGCAAACAGGAUUAGAUACCCCUGUAGUCCCUGUCUCUUAUAC
RNAcentral lists this ribosomal RNA (301 nucleotides) under uncultured bacterium. RNAcentral's name for it is "partial 16S ribosomal RNA". It matches the Rfam family "Bacterial small subunit ribosomal RNA", at positions 509 to 807 of the family's 1533-position model. The record is from RNAcentral.